AUAUCAAUAAGCGGAGGAAAAGAAACUAACAAGGAUUCCCGUAGUAACUGCGAGUGAAGUGGGAAGAGCUCAAAUUUGGAAUCUGGCGGUUCUGGCCGUCCGAGUUGUAAUCUAGAGAAGUGUUACCUGCGCUGGACCGUGUACAAGUCUCCUGGAACGGAGCGUCAUAGAGGGUGAGAAUCCCGUCUCUGACACGGACUACCAGGGCUUUGUGGUAUGCUCUCAAAGAGUCGAGUUGUUUGGGAAUGCAGCUCAAAAUGGGUGGUAAACUCCAUCUAAAGCUAAAUACUGGCGAGAGACCGAUAGUGAACAAGUACCGUGAGGGAAAGAUGAAAAGAACUUUGGAAAGAGAGUUAAACAGUACGUGAAAUUGCUGAAAGGGAAACGCUUGAAGUCAGUCGCGUUGGCUGGGGAUCAGCUUCACAAACAAGUGCGGUGUAUUUCCUGGUUGACGGGUCAGCAUCAAUUUUGACUGCUGGAGAAAGGCUUGAGGAAUGUAGCAGCCCCGGCUGUGUUAUAGCCUCUUGUCAGAUACAGUGGUUGGGAUUGAGGUGUGCAGCACGCCGCGAGGCCGGGGCUUAAAUAGCCCACGUUCGUGCUUAGGAUGUUGACAUAAUGGCUUUAAGCGACCCGUCUGAAA
Molecule: ribosomal RNA, 640 nt
Filed under: Leucocoprinus sp.
Lineage: Eukaryota; Fungi; Basidiomycota; Agaricomycetes; Agaricales; Agaricaceae
Description: LSU rRNA
Rfam family: Eukaryotic large subunit ribosomal RNA
Source: RNAcentral